Molecule: ribosomal RNA, 498 nt
Filed under: uncultured bacterium
Lineage: Bacteria
Description: partial 16S ribosomal RNA
Rfam family: Bacterial small subunit ribosomal RNA
Source: RNAcentral
AUUGAACGCUGGCGGCAUGCCUUACACAUGCAAGUCGAACGGUAACAGGUCUUCGGAUGCUGACGAGUGGCGAACGGGUGAGUAAUACAUCGGAACGUGCCUAGUAGUGGGGGAUAACUACUCGAAAGAGUGGCUAAUACCGCAUGAGAUCUACGGUUGAAAGCAGGGGAUCGCAAGACCUUGUGCUACUAGAGCGGCCGAUGGCAGAUUAGGUAGGUGGGGGGAUAAAAGCUUACCAAGCCGACGAUCUGUAGCUGGUCUGAGAGGACGACCAGCCACACUGGGACUGAGACACGGCCCAGACUCCUACGGGAGGCAGCAGUGGGGAAUUUUGAACAAUGGGCGAAAGCCUGAUCCAGCAAUGCCGCGUGCAGGAUGAAGGCCUUCGGGUUGUAAACUGCUUUUGUACGGAACGAAAAGCCCUGGGUUAAUACCCUGGGGUCAUGACGGUACCGUAAGAAUAAGCACCGGCUAACUACGUGCCAGCAGCCGCCGUAA